RNAcentral lists this ribosomal RNA (206 nucleotides) under uncultured Bacillota bacterium. RNAcentral's name for it is "uncultured Firmicutes bacterium partial 16S ribosomal RNA". It matches the Rfam family "Bacterial small subunit ribosomal RNA", at positions 568 to 774 of the family's 1533-position model. Lineage: Bacteria; Bacillati; Bacillota. The record is from RNAcentral.
AGCGUAGGUGGAGCUUUAAGUCGGACUUAAAAGUGCGGGGCUCAACCCCGUGAUGGGUCCGAAACUGGAGUUCUUGAGUGUAGGAGAGGAAAGCGGAAUUCCCAGUGUAGCGGUGAAAUGCGUAGAUAUUGGGAGGAACACCAGUGGCGAAGGCGGCUUUCUGGACUAUAACUGACACUGAGGCUCGAAAGCCAGGGGAGUGAACG